Molecule: long non-coding RNA, 398 nt
Organism: Haliotis rubra (blacklip abalone)
Lineage: Eukaryota; Metazoa; Mollusca; Gastropoda; Lepetellida; Haliotidae
Exons: 2
Source: RefSeq, a predicted model, not a curated record
ACACUUUGUAUUGUGAUGGACCAAUGAAUCGUUACACUUGUUAGGUAAACCAUCAUUUAGGGCCAAUCACUACACAGGUAUUUUUAUCAUGACACUUUGUAUUGUGAUGGACCAAUGAAUCGUUACACUUGUUAGGUAAACCAUCAUUUAGGGCCAAUCACUACACAGGUAUUUUUAUCAUGACACUUUGUAUUGUGAUGGACCAAUGAAUCGUUACACUUGUUAGGUAAACCAUCAUUUAGGGCCAAUCACUACACAGGUAUUUUUAUCAUGACACUUUGUAUUGUGAUGGACCAAUGAAUCGUUACACUUGUUAGGUAAACCAUCAUUUAGGGCCAAUCACUACACAGGUAUUUUUAUCAUGACACUUUGUAUUGUGAUGGACCAAUGAAUCGUUA